AGAGUUUGAUCAUGGCUCAGAUUGAACGCUGGCGGCAGGCCUAACACAUGCAAGUCGAGCGGUAGAGAGGUGCUUGCACCUCUUGAGAGCGGCGGACGGGUGAGUAAUGCCUAGGAAUCUGCCUGGUAGUGGGGGAUAACGCUCGGAAACGGACGCUAAUACCGCAUACGUCCUACGGGAGAAAGCAGGGGACCUUCGGGCCUUGCGCUAUCAGAUGAGCCUAGGUCGGAUUAGCUAGUUGGUGGGGUAAUGGCUCACCAAGGCGACGAUCCGUAACUGGUCUGAGAGGAUGAUCAGUCACACUGGAACUGAGACACGGUCCAGACUCCUACGGGAGGCAGCAGUGGGGAAUAUUGGACAAUGGGCGAAAGCCUGAUCCAGCCAUGCCGCGUGUGUGAAGAAGGUCUUCGGAUUGUAAAGCACUUUAAGUUGGGAGGAAGGGCAGUUACUUAAUACGUGACUGUCUUGACGUUACCGACAGAAUAAGCACCGGCUAACUCUGUGCCAGCAGCCGCGGUAAUACAGAGGGUGCAAGCGUUAAUCGGAAUUACUGGGCGUAAAGCGCGCGUAGGUGGUUCGUUAAGUUGGAUGCGAAAUCCCCGGGCUCAACCUGGGAACUGCAUUCAAAACUGUCGAGCUAGAGUAUGGUAGAGGGUGGUGGAAUUUCCUGUGUAGCGGUGAAAUGCGUAGAUAUAGGAAGGAACACCAGUGGCGAAAGCGACCACCUGGACUGAUACUGACACUGAGUGCGAAAGCGUGGGGAGCAAACAGAUUAGAUACCCUGGUAGUCCACGCCGUAAACGAUGUCAACUAGCCGUUGGGAGCCUUGAGCUCUUAGUGGCGCAGCUAACGCAUUAAGUUGACCGCCUGGGGAGUACGGCCGCAAGGUUAAAACUCAAAUGAAUUGACGG
Molecule: ribosomal RNA, 911 nt
Filed under: uncultured bacterium
Lineage: Bacteria
Description: bacterial SSU rRNA
Rfam family: Bacterial small subunit ribosomal RNA
Source: RNAcentral